UGGAGGUUGUGCCCUUGAGGCGUGGCUUCCGGAGCUAACGCGUUAAGUCGACCGCCUGGGGAGUACGGCCGCAAGGUUAAAACUCAAAUGAAUUGACGGGGGCCCGCACAAGCGGUGGAGCAUGUGGUUUAAUUCGAUGCAACGCGAAGAACCUUACCUACUCUUGACAUCCAGAGAAUUCGCUAGAGAUAGCUUAGUGCCUUCGGGAACUCUGAGACAGGUGCUGCAUGGCUGUCGUCAGCUCGUGUUGUGAAAUGUUGGGUUAAGUCCCGCAACGAGCGCAACCCUUAUCCUUUGUUGCCAGCACGUAAUGGUGGGAACUCAAAGGAGACUGCCGGUGAUAAACCGGAGGAAGGUGGGGAUGACGUCAAGUCAUCAUGGCCCUUACGAGUAGGGCUACACACGUGCUACAAUGGCGUAUACAAAGAGAAGCGAACUCGCGAGAGCAAGCGGACCUCAUAAAGUACGUCGUAGUCCGGAUCGGAGUCUGCAACUCGACUCCGUGAAGUCGGAAUCGCUAGUAAUCGUAGAUCAGAAUGCUACGGUGAAUACGUUCCCGGGCCUUGCACUCACCGCCCGUCA
RNAcentral lists this ribosomal RNA (582 nucleotides) under Enterobacterales bacterium. Its description in RNAcentral is "bacterial SSU rRNA". It matches the Rfam family "Bacterial small subunit ribosomal RNA", at positions 818 to 1399 of the family's 1533-position model. Lineage: Bacteria; Pseudomonadati; Pseudomonadota; Gammaproteobacteria; Enterobacterales. The record is from RNAcentral.